AUCAUUUUACCCCUGCACUCAAAUUUCGCAUCAGCCUGCUAUGUCAAUUAGAAAUAACGGAUCUAUUAUCAUUCACCUUAAUGGGAGGCUAUGAUCUAGUUAUCUCCAUAACUAGUUUAUUUUAUGGAUCUAAUAAUUUAAAAAAAUUGAUUAAAUUUUUUAAAAAAUAUCAAUCGACCUAUAAGUCAUAAAUCCUCCCACG
RNAcentral lists this long non-coding RNA (202 nucleotides) under Elaeis guineensis (African oil palm). RNAcentral describes it as "long non-coding RNA (EGUI_LNC082520)". Lineage: Eukaryota; Viridiplantae; Streptophyta; Magnoliopsida; Arecales; Arecaceae. The record is from RNAcentral.